Molecule: non-coding RNA, 811 nt
Organism: Lupinus albus (white lupine)
Lineage: Eukaryota; Viridiplantae; Streptophyta; Magnoliopsida; Fabales; Fabaceae
Source: the annotation of a GenBank genome assembly
UUAAAAGACAUUCUUCCGAGAUUAUUUUUGAUAGCAGAGGACAAAAAUGUAAGUGGUGGUUGAUUGUGGUUCUUGGUCUAAUGGGAAUUGGUCCUGGUAUGUUCAGUGGAGGAGAAAUCUGUUUGAUUGGGAGAUAGAGUUAGUAACAAAGUUAUACACUUUCAUUCAACAUUAUUCUUGUAAAAGUGGAGUUAUUGAUAGAUGGACGUGAAAUCUCGACAAAUCUGGUUGCUAUGUGGUUAAAACUGCUUAUCUUCCUCAACUCACUCUUGUCCAUCAGAUUAUCAGACACAAGUUAAAUUCUUGAUUUGAGUUGAAUUAGUGGUGUGCCUUGUAAGGUCUGUUGCUUCACCUGGAAAGCUCUUAGAGCUAGAGUUGCUAUAGAAUCAAAGCUUCUCAAAAGAAACUUUUUGAAUGUAGAUAAUGAAAACUUGGACCAUCUAUCUUUUUAUCUCUUGUCAUCUUCAUCUUGUGGCCGAUGUUUGGAGAGGCUUUUAUUCGUGACUCUAGGGAAAUCUAUCUAGAGAAUAUUGUGGUUUGUUGUUAUUUGGUUUGUCCAAUAUAUAAGGAAUGAAGUCAUUUUUAGGGGGCAAAAUCUUAGCUAUAUUCCGUUGUUGAAUUUGAUUCAAGUUAGAUACCAAUUAUGACUAUCUAAUAUGUUCUUAUAAUUAAAUUCUAUUUCUUUUGCACAAUGGUGUAUUGCUUACUUUUCUUGUAUCAAACUGUAUAUUAUAUAUGUAAUCUAUAAUCGGUUGGCACCCGUAGAUUGUAAGUGUAACUUUUGAUUUACAACUUGCUAUUAAAAUUGUUU